This 429-nucleotide ribosomal RNA is filed under the name Actinomycetes bacterium. RNAcentral's name for it is "Actinobacteria bacterium partial 16S ribosomal RNA". It matches the Rfam family "Bacterial small subunit ribosomal RNA", at positions 355 to 776 of the family's 1533-position model. Lineage: Bacteria; Bacillati; Actinomycetota; Actinomycetes. The record is from RNAcentral.
UAGGGAAUCUUCCGCAAUGGGCGAAAGCCUGACGGAGCAACGCCGCGUGAGUGAUGAAGGUCUUCGGAUCGUACAACUCUGUUAUUAGGGAAGAACAAAUGUGUAAGUAACUAUGCACGUCUUGACGGUACCUAAUCAGAAAGCCCCGGCUAACUACGUGCCAGCAGCCGCGGUAAUACGUAGGUGGCAAGCGUUAUCCGGAAUUAUUGGGCGUAAAGCGCGCGUAGGCGGUUUUUUAAGUCUGAUGUGAAAGCCCACGGCUCAACCGUGGAGGGUCAUUGGAAACUGGAAAACUUGAGUGCAGAAGAGGAAAGUUGAAUUCCAUGUGUAGCGGUGAAAUGCGCAGAGAUAUGGAGGAACACCAGUGGCGAAGGCGACUUUCUGGUCUGUAACUGACGCUGAUGUGCGAAAGCGUGGGGAUCAAACAGG